CUAGCGCGGUGGUCCCACCUGACCCCAUGCCGAACUCAGAAGUGAAACGCCGUAGCGCCGAUGGUAGUGUGGGGUCUCCCCAUGCGAGAGUAGGGAACUGCCAGAC
Molecule: ribosomal RNA, 106 nt
Filed under: Salmonella enterica
Lineage: Bacteria; Pseudomonadati; Pseudomonadota; Gammaproteobacteria; Enterobacterales; Enterobacteriaceae
Also listed under: 4 other names
Source: RNAcentral